AUGAGGGCCUUAUUCUGGAAUAUUAGAGGGUUCGGUGCUAGGGGGCGCCGUGACCAACUGAAAGAUUUGGUUCGUUCUAACUCUAUUGACUUUGUGGGGCUGGUUGAAACGUUUAAGGAUUCCUUUACCCCCAGUGAGCUUUCUGCUAUCGUGGGUAUGGAUAGAUUUCAGUGGCAAUCUUUACCGGCUUCGGGCCACUCUGGUGGGAUUCUGAUCGGUUCUAAUAAGGAUAUUUUUGACUUUGUUGCUUUUGAUCAUGGUUUUUAUUGGGCUAGUGUUGUUCUCUCGCAUAGAUCUAUGAAUGCCCUCUAUGAAUUUAUAGUUGUUUAUGGGCCCGCGGAUCACUCCUUUUCGCACCUUUUCCUUGAUGAACUUUCGAUCAAGCUUGAGUCCUGUUCUCUCUCGACGGUGAUUGGGGGAGACUUUAAUCUUCUGCGAUGCCCUCUUGACAAGAAUAAUGAUAAUUUUUCCUGGUCUUUAGCCAAUGCUUUUAAUGACUUUAUUAGUGUCAAUGCCAUUCGGGAGCUUCCUCGGGGGGGAGCCCGCUUUACUUGGUCUAAUCAUCAGGCGAACCCUAUCAGAUCCGUGCUUGAUCGUGUCUUCCUAUGUCCCAGUUGGAAUGCCUUGUUUCCUAGGUCCUCUCUUGUAGCUAAAUGUAUUGUGGGGUCAGACCACACCCCCUUGAUUCUGGAUGAUGGUUCCAUUCGCAAUAGACCUCCGACUAGAUUUCAGUUUGAUGCUUCUUGGCUGUCUGUUGAUGGCUUUGUUGACAUGGUUGCGGCGAAAAUCUCCCAAUCCCUCUCUCACAACCCCCGCUCUUUUGGCCCUCUGGAUGAUUGGCAGUCAUGUGCCUAUGCUUUAUGA
RNAcentral lists this ribosomal RNA (864 nucleotides) under Triticum aestivum (bread wheat). Its description in RNAcentral is "partial small subunit ribosomal RNA". The record is from RNAcentral. Lineage: Eukaryota; Viridiplantae; Streptophyta; Magnoliopsida; Poales; Poaceae.